RNAcentral lists this ribosomal RNA (305 nucleotides) under uncultured bacterium. RNAcentral describes it as "bacterial SSU rRNA". It matches the Rfam family "Bacterial small subunit ribosomal RNA", at positions 338 to 660 of the family's 1533-position model. The record is from RNAcentral.
CCUACGGGGGGCAGCAGUGAGGAAUAUUGGGCAAUGGAGGCAACUCUGACCCAGCCAUGCCGCGUGAGUGAAGAAGGUUUUCGGAUUGUAAAGCUCUUUCGGAUGUGACGAUGAUGACGGUAGCAUCUAAAGAAGCCCCGGCUAACUUCGUGCCAGCAGCCGCGGUAAUACGAAGGGGGCAAGCGUUGUUCGGAAUUACUGGGCGUAAAGGGAGUGUAGGCGGUUUAGUAAGAUAGUGGUGAAAUCCCAGAGCUUAACUUUGGAAUUGCCAUUAUAACUAUUAGACUAGAAUUACAGAGAGGAUA